UACGUAGGUGGCAAGCGUUAUCCGGAAUUAUUGGGCGUAAAGCGCACGCAGGUGGCUUCUUAAGUCUGACGUGAAAGCUCCUGGCUUAACUGGGAGAGGUCGUUGGGUACUGGGAGGCUUGAGGCAAGGAGAGGGGCGUAGAAUUCCCGGUGUAGUGGUGGAAUGCGUAGAUAUCGGGGGGAAUACCAGAGGCGCAAGCGGCGCCCUGGCCUUGGCCUGACGCUCAGGUGCGAAAGCGUGGGGAGCGAACGGG
RNAcentral lists this ribosomal RNA (253 nucleotides) under uncultured bacterium. RNAcentral's name for it is "partial 16S ribosomal RNA". It matches the Rfam family "Bacterial small subunit ribosomal RNA", at positions 524 to 776 of the family's 1533-position model. The record is from RNAcentral.